Molecule: long non-coding RNA, 1063 nt
Organism: Leopardus geoffroyi (Geoffroy's cat)
Lineage: Eukaryota; Metazoa; Chordata; Mammalia; Carnivora; Felidae
Exons: 6
Source: RefSeq, a predicted model, not a curated record
UACUUUUAUAAAAAAUAUCGUUUCUACAUCAAAUUUAAUUUUCUUUAUCCCUCUUCUAGGUAAAGAGUUGAAUAUAUGAAGAUCAAAUUUCUGAGAAGAUUAAGUACUACAUGAAGGAAAAUGCAAAACAUGCAGAAAAAAUGUCCAUUUGUGAAUAGAAGGUUCACCUCUCCCUUUACGAAGUUCAUACCAGCGAAGUGAAAUUGAAGUGUGAAGAACAGGAAGUGAAAUUGAAGUCUGAAGAAACAGGCUGUGCAGAAAGAAAAUGCUCAGGUUAAGAUCCACAAGAAUCAGUCUAUGCAGGUCAGAAUCAACCUCCAUCAACCUCCAUCCUUUAUGAGACGUAGGACGUGAUGCAGCUCCCAUGGGAAAUAUCAGUUUUGUCUCUACCAAGGAUGCAGAGAAAGACAAGAUUCAGGCUUGUUUCCGGGAAGAAACCCUGACAGAAAUUCAGAAGAACGGGAGCUGCAUUCCAUUAGGACGUGAAUACACGAAAUGUUUGUCUCAGGACCUUCUAGAAGAAUGAGCUUGGACCCACUUUCCGAGUCCUGCUGGAACCAGAGACAGAGGACUUCUAGUACUAUGUGGAAUAAGUGGUGAGAGGGAUCAUCCCUGUAUUGUCCCUGACUUUGGAGGAAAAACUUUCAAUUUUUCCCCAUUGAGGAUGAGAUGAGCUGUGGGUUUUUCAUAGAUGACCUUUAUUAUGUGCAGGUAGGUUGAGUCCCAAUCUACUUGCUAGGGGGUUUUUAUCAUGAAUGGAUGUGACAUUUUGUCAAAUCGUUUUCCUGCAUGUCUUGAAAGCAUCAUAUUUUUCUUAUCCUUUCUUCUAUUACUGUGGUGCAUCAUGUUGAUUGAUCUGUGAAUGUGGAACCACACUUGCAGCCCAGGAAUAUAUCCCACUUGAUUAUGGUAAAUGAUUAUAUUAAUGUAUUGUUGACUUUAAUUUGAAGGUAUUUUGAUGUGAAUUUAUGCAUACAUACGCAUCGUGGUAUUGGUCUGUAGUUUUAUUUAAAAAAUUUUAAACCUAUUUAAAAUAUUUAUUUACUUAGAGACAUAGAGUACA